Molecule: ribosomal RNA, 730 nt
Filed under: uncultured eukaryote
Lineage: Eukaryota
Description: SSU rRNA
Rfam family: Eukaryotic small subunit ribosomal RNA
Source: RNAcentral
CGCGUGCACUGACUCGGUUGGGCCUUUCCUUCUGGAGAACCGCAUGCCCUUCACUGGGUGUGUCGGGGAACCAGGACUUUUACUCUGAACAAAUUAGAUCGCUUAAAGAAGGCCUAUGCUCGAAUACAUUAGCAUGGAAUAAUAGAAUAGGACGUGUGGUUCUAUUUUGUUGGUUUCUAGGACCGCCGUAAUGAUUAAUAGGGACAGUCGGGGGCAUCAGUAUUCAAUUGUCAGAGGUGAAAUUCUUGGAUUUAUUGAAGACUAACUACUGCGAAAGCAUUUGCCAAGGAUGUUUUCAUUAAUCAGGAACGAAAGUUAGGGGAUCGAAGACGAUCAGAUACCGUCGUAGUCUUAACCAUAAACUAUGCCGAUUAGGGAUCGGACGAUGUUAUUUUUUGACUCGUUCGGCACCUUACGAUAAAUCAAAAUGUUUGGGCUCCUGGGGGAGUAUGGUCGCAAGGCUGAAACUUAAAGAAAUUGACGGGAAGGGCACCACCAGGGGUGGAGCCUGCGGCUUAAUUUGACUCAACACGGGGAAACUCACCAGGUCCAGACACGAUGAGGAUUGACAGAUUGAGAGCUCUUUCUUGAUUUCGUGGGUGAUGGUGCAUGGCCGUUCUUAGUUGGUGGAGUGAUUUGUCUGCUUAAUUGCGAUAACGAACGAGACCUUAACCUGCUAAAUAGCCCGUAUUGCUUUGGCAGUACGCUGGCUUCUUAGAGGGACUAUCGG